UGCCAGACUCCUACGGGAGGCAGCAGUGGGGGAUAUUGCACAAUGGGGGAAACCCUGAUGCAGCGACGCCGCGUGGGCGAAGAAGUAUUUCGGUAUGUAAAGCCCUAUCAGCGGGGAAGAAAAUGACGGUACCUGACUAAGAAGCCCCGGCUAACUACGUGCCAGCAGCCGCGGUAAUACGUAGGGGGCAAGCGUUAUCCGGAUUUACUGAGUGUAAAGGGAGCGUAGACGGCGGCGCAAGUCCGGAGUGAAAGCCCACGGCCCAACCGUGGGACUGCUCUGGAAACUGUGCGGCUUGAGUGCGGGAGGGGCAGGCGGAAUUCCUAGUGUAGCGGUGAAAUGCGUAGAUAUUAGGAGGAACACCGGCGGCGAAGGCGGCCUGCUGGACCGUAACUGACGUUGAGGCUCGAAAGCGUGGGGAGCAAACAGGAUUAGAUACCCGGGUAU
RNAcentral lists this ribosomal RNA (447 nucleotides) under uncultured bacterium. RNAcentral describes it as "partial 16S ribosomal RNA". It matches the Rfam family "Bacterial small subunit ribosomal RNA", at positions 329 to 793 of the family's 1533-position model. The record is from RNAcentral.